This 42-nucleotide small RNA is filed under the name Anaerobutyricum hallii. RNAcentral's name for it is "CRISPR_Spacer". Lineage: Bacteria; Bacillati; Bacillota; Clostridia; Lachnospirales; Lachnospiraceae. The record is from RNAcentral.
AGUACAAAUGAAAACAAUAAUAAUAUGGUAAUCGCAGCAAUC